RNAcentral lists this ribosomal RNA (254 nucleotides) under uncultured bacterium. Its description in RNAcentral is "partial 16S ribosomal RNA". It matches the Rfam family "Bacterial small subunit ribosomal RNA", at positions 524 to 776 of the family's 1533-position model. The record is from RNAcentral.
UACGGGGGGAGCAAGCGUUGCUCGGAUUUACUGGGCGUAAAGGGCGCGUAGGCGGCCACUGCAAGUCGGUUGUGAAAUCUCCGGGCUUAACCCGGGAACUGCGUCCGAGACUGGAAGGCUCGAAUCCGGGAGAGGGAUGUGGAAUUCCAGGUGUAGCGGUGAAAUGCGUAGAUAUCUGGAGGAACAUCGGUGGCGAAGGCGGCAUCCUGGACCGGUAUUGACGCUGAGGCGCGAAAGCCAGGGGAGCAAACGGG